GUAGUAGUUAUGUUCUUGAAAAUUAAAAAAUUUGGCGGUAUUUCAGUCAAUUAAAGGAACCUGUCUUGUAAUUGAUAGUCCACGAUAAGAUASACUUAUUUUUUUAGUUUGUAUAUCGUUGUUUAGAAUUUCUUUAUUGGGAUAAUUUUCAAUUGUUUUUAAUUAAAUUAAUUUCAGAUCAAGGUGCAGCUUAUAAGUAAGAAUUGAUGGGUUACAAUUUAAAUAUAUUUGGUUAUUUAUUUUAAAUUUUAGAUAUAAAUGGGAUUUGAUUGUAAUUAAAGAAAUUUUUCUUUAAUGAUCAUUGUUCUGAAAUAUGU
RNAcentral lists this ribosomal RNA (317 nucleotides) under Ellychnia sp. CO1197. Its description in RNAcentral is "partial 12S ribosomal RNA". The record is from RNAcentral. Lineage: Eukaryota; Metazoa; Arthropoda; Insecta; Coleoptera; Lampyridae.